This is a non-coding RNA of Schistosoma margrebowiei, 46 nucleotides long. The record is from Rfam. NCBI's taxonomy places the organism in Eukaryota, Metazoa, Platyhelminthes, Trematoda, Strigeidida, Schistosomatidae.
GCACUGCUGAGGAGUCCCAAAAUGGGACGAACCGGCCGUCCAGUAC